UUCAAGAGUACGUGAAACCGUCCAGGGGUAAACCUGCGAAACUCGAAUGAACGAACGGAGAGAUUCAUCGUCAUUCCUCGGCGCACGUGCGUUGGUUCGAUGUCUUCGGCCUCGGUCGUUGGCACUGCUCGCGUACGUAGCGUCCGGGGACGGCGUGCACUUCUCUCUUAGUAAUACAUCGCGACCCUUUCGGUGUCGGUCUAAGUGCCGCUUGGGAGUCUUCGUUCUUACGAAUGUCGACCACGGUGGUCACCGACCGGCCGCCGGAAGGUAGAUUUGACGAAACGCGCACGCGCUUUGCGCGUCCGGCCCGACGCAAGGCAACGUCGUAUCCCACGUCCUGCCCGAGUGCGGACGAGGGUGCGGCGCGCCUGUCGUCGCAGCCGUGCUGUCUCGGACCGUGCGCGUAUCUGUCUGCGAUGAUUCAGUUUCGGGCACUCGCAGGACCCGUCU
This 453-nucleotide ribosomal RNA is filed under the name Nearcha nullata. Its description in RNAcentral is "eukaryotic LSU rRNA". Lineage: Eukaryota; Metazoa; Arthropoda; Insecta; Lepidoptera; Geometridae. The record is from RNAcentral.